CGGUCACGUUCGUUGCAUAGGAGCGGGUUAAAUGUUCUAUAUAAUAAAUCAAGUUCACAUUCUUUAGUAAACUAAAGCAGAACAAUUGAAUAUAUUAUUUAGAGAUACUACCUAUUAAAUAGUGAAACGCAAUUAAGCAGACAGAUCACUCCACGAACUAAGAACGGCCAUGCACCACCUAUCAUAUAAUCAUGAAAGGACUAUCAUAUUUAUGCUAUAAUAAUAUAAAUAUUAUUAUAACUAUCACCUGUCAAUCCUCAAUAUGUCCGGACCUGGUAAGAUUUCCCGCGUUGGGUCAAAUUAAGCCACAUGCUCCAC
RNAcentral lists this ribosomal RNA (318 nucleotides) under Foraminifera environmental sample. Its description in RNAcentral is "partial small subunit ribosomal RNA". The record is from RNAcentral. Lineage: Eukaryota; Foraminifera.